RNAcentral lists this small RNA (2479 nucleotides) under Pan troglodytes (chimpanzee). RNAcentral describes it as "processed transcript". Lineage: Eukaryota; Metazoa; Chordata; Mammalia; Primates; Hominidae. The record is from RNAcentral.
AGAAGGAGCCAGCAUGGACAAUCUCCUUUACAGUUUUGGAAGCAGGUUUGUUGCCAUGGAGUUCACAUUUUGACUGGAGUUGAGAAGUAUAAAGGUAACCAUCUGUUAUAGUUUCAACGAUCUGACAAAAAGAUAGGCUGUUGCUCUUCUUCUGGAAAAGCCUGAUUGGUAAGAUUCCUUUAAGGGCUCAGCCCCAAAGAGCUUUAUCCCAUCCCCUCACAGACUGAAAACUAAAGCCUGCAGAGACCUCUGAAGGAAAACCUGUCCCGGGCUCUGUCACUUCACACCCAUGGCUAACCCUGGAGGUGGUGCUGUUUGCAAUGGGAAACUUCACAAUCACAAGAAACAGAGCAAUGGCUCACAAAGCAGAAACUGCACAAAGAAUGGAAUAGUGAAGGAAGCCCAGCAAAAUGGGAAGCCACAUUUUUGUGAUAAGCUCAUUGUUGAAUCGUUUGAGGAAGCACCCCUUCAUGUUAUGGUUUUCACUUACAUGGGAUAUGGAAUUGGAACCCUGUUUGGCUAUCUCAGAGACUUUUUAAGAAACUGGGGAAUAGAAAAAUGCAACGCAGCUGUGGAACGAAAAGAACAAAAAGUACGUAUGCGCACCUCCCUGGAUCUUUGUCAAUGCCUACUCCUCUCUAAAGUGUUCUCAGAAGUGGUGAUGCAGGUGCAGAUCCUAGAAAGUAUGAGGUGCUCAGGAACUAUUCAGGGCAAAUUUCAUUCAUCUCCACCUCCUAAACCCCAUUCCCCAUGGGCUUAUGGACCUGUUUUUACAAACAUCUCAUGGGCAACUACUAUUUGCCACAUACCGAACUAAGGCUUUUCCCAUACCUUGUAAUAUUUAAUUUUUGUAACAACCCCAUGAUAUAGAUAUUAAACUAUAAUUUUGAAGAUAAAAACAUGAAAAUAUAAAAGCAAGUGCUCCUGGGUGGGACUGUACUUUGGUCUUCUAGUUCUAAGUUGGGUAUUAUUUAUGCUCUAUCCUGAAAAGGAAAGUGCAUUUGAGUGAACUGGGACAUUUUUAUUUCAUCUAAAUCUGAUUUCUCACCUUUGACACUAUUAAUAUUUUGAACCAAUUUUUUGGGCAUUGUAAGAAUUUUAACAGCAUCUGAAAAAUAUAGCAUUAAACCACUAAAGCUAAGGACCCUCAUGAAGUCACUGCACCCUCCACUACCUCUACUGGAACAGGCACUGGUAUCCACUGCUGAGAGACCCAUAGAUGGUUCACAUCACAGGACUCUGUGGAGAAAAUCCCCAGUACCAACUUGGAGCCGGGUAGACUCGGUGGGUGGCGAGACCCAGAAGAGAGACAACAAUCACUGCAGUUCAGCUCACAGGAAGCCACAUCCAUAGGAAAAGGGGGAGAGUAAUACAUCAAGGGAACACCCCGAGGGACAAAAGAAUCUGAACAACAGUCUUCAGCCCUAGACUUCCCCAAAUGAGAAGGAACCAGAAAACCAACCUUGGUAAUAUGACAAAACAAGGCUCUUCAACACCCCCCAAAAUAUAAUACUAGUUCACCAGCAAUGGAUCCAAACCAAGAAGAAAUCCCUGAUUUACCUGAAAAAGAAUUCAGGAGGUUAUUAAGCUAAUCAGGGAGAGGCCAGAGAAAGCAAAGCCCAAUGCAAGAAAAUCCAAAAAAUGUUACAAGAAGUGAAGAGAGAAAUAUUCAAGGAAAUAGAUGGCUUAAAGUAAAAACAAUCAAAAAUUCAAGAAACUUUGGACACACUUUUAGAAAUGCAAAAUGCUCUGGAAAGUCUCAGCAAUAGAAUUGAACUAGUAGAAGAAAAAAAUUCAGAGCUUAAAGACAAGGUCUUCGAAUUAACCCAAUUCAACAAAGACAAAGAAAAAAUAAUAAGAAAAUAUGAACAAAGCCUCCAAGAAGUCUGGGAUUAUGUUAAACAACCAAACCUAAGAAUAAUCAAUGUUCCUGAGGAAGAAGAGAAUUCUAAAAGCCUGGAAAAUAUAUUUGGGGGAAUAAUCGAGGAAAACUUCCCCGGCCUUGCUAGAGACCUAGACAUCCAAAUACAAGAAGCACAAAGAUCACCCAGGAAAUUCAUCACCAAAAGAUCUUCACCUAGGCACAUUGUCAUCAGGUUAUCCAAAGGAAACCAUUUUAAGAGCUGUGAGACAGAAGCACCAGGUAACUUAUAAAGGAAAAAUCUAUCAGAUUAACAGCAGAUUUCUCAGCAGAAACCCUACAAGCUAAGACAGAAUUGGGGCCCUAUCUUCAGCCCCCUCAAACAAAACAAUUAUCAGCCAAGAAUUUUGUAUACAGCGAAACUAAGCAUCAUAUUUGAAGGAAAGAUACAGUCAUCUUCAGACAAACAAAUGCUGAGAUAAUUCACACCAAGCCACCACUACAAGAACUGAUAAAAGAAGCUCUAAAUAUUGAAACAAAUCCUGGAAAACAGAGCUUCUUUAAAGCAUAAAUCACAUGGGACCUAUUAAAAAAACACACACACACAGGUUAAAAAGC